CCCUUAGAUGUCCUGGGCCGCACGCGCGCUACACUGAUGCAUGCAACGAGUUUAUAACCUUGGCCUGAAAGGUCUGGGUAAUCUUUUGAACGUGCAUCGUGAUAGGGAUAGAUUAUUGCAAUUGUUAAUCUUGAACGAGGAAUUCCUAGUAAACGCGAGUCAUCAGCUUGCAUUGAUUACGUCCCUGCCCUUUGUACACACCGCCCGUCGCUCCUACCGAUUGAAUGAUCCGAUGAAUAUCAUGGAUUGAGGAUGCAAGUAGGUUCGCCUAUCUUCAUCUUCGAGAAGUGAAGUAAAUCUUAUCAUUUAGAGGAAGGAGAAGUCGUAACA
This 330-nucleotide ribosomal RNA is filed under the name uncultured eukaryote. RNAcentral's name for it is "partial 18S ribosomal RNA". It matches the Rfam family "Eukaryotic small subunit ribosomal RNA", at positions 1470 to 1796 of the family's 1831-position model. The record is from RNAcentral.